GUGUCAGCCGCCGCGGUAAUACGGAGGGGGCUAGCGUUGUUCGGAAUUACUGGGCGUAAAGCGCACGCAGGCGGUGCGGUCAGUUGGAUGUGAAAUCCCAGGGCUCAACCCUGGAAUUGCAUUCGAUACUGCCGCGCUGGAGGACGGAAGAGGAGAGUGGAAUUCCCAGUGUAGAGGUGAAAUUCGUAGAUAUUGGGAAGAACACCAGUGGCGAAGGCGGCUCUCUGGUCCGUUUCUGACGCUCAUGUGCGAAAGCGUGGGGAGCAAACAGGAUUAGAUACCCUGGUAGUCCACGCCGUAAACGAUGUCAGCUAGACGUUGGGGAGCAUGCUCUUCAGUGUCGCAGCUAACGCAUUAAGCUGACCGCCUGGGGAGUACGGUCGCAAGAUUAAAACUUAAAUGAAUUGACGGGG
Molecule: ribosomal RNA, 413 nt
Filed under: uncultured prokaryote
Description: bacterial SSU rRNA
Rfam family: Bacterial small subunit ribosomal RNA
Source: RNAcentral